RNAcentral lists this long non-coding RNA (668 nucleotides) under Marmota monax (woodchuck). The record is from RNAcentral. Lineage: Eukaryota; Metazoa; Chordata; Mammalia; Rodentia; Sciuridae.
UUUCCAAUUUAUUAGAAUUUAAAUUUUCAAAAUAGUUCCUAAUGAUCCUCUGGAUUUCAGUUUUGUCUGUUGUAUUUGUCUCUAAUUAUAUUAAUUAGGGUCUUCUCUCUCUUUUGCUUAGUUUGACCACAGGUUUAUCAACCUUGGUUUUUAUCUUACCUUUUCAAAGAACCAACUCUUUGUUUCAUUGGUCCUUAGUGUUGUUCUUUUAUACUCUAAUUAAUUUACCAGGUGGUCAAGUUUGUAAGGAUUCUGGCUGUGGAUAUGUACAAGGCAGCAUUCCUCUGGUGAGAAAACUCUUGGAGGGUAACAGGGGCUCUGUUAUCUACAUUUGGAUAUUCUACAGUUUCUCCCUGGAACUAGUAAGAUGACUAAUACAUGCUCAGUGCCUAGCUGCUAUGGUAAUGUCCUUUGGGAGGAGGCUCUGUACUAGAGUCUUAUCAGUCUCAACCUUAAUCUCAAACACUCAGCUUCUGGGAAUAAAGGAACUCUCUUAGACAACACCAAUGUGUCACUGCACCUAAAUCUGCCCACAGAACAGUAACUUUAUACAAUGAGCAAUAUGUACUAAUGACAUCAAUGAUCUAAUGAAACCUAUGGAUAUAGAUAAAGCUGGCAGCUCAGAUGAACAGCCCUUUUUAUUUUGCCCCUGUUCCUUGCUUGCUUCU